CAGGAGGUGGCAGAUCUCCAGGUAGCCCUUCUGGGCGGCGGCGUGCAGGGGGGUGCGCUUGCUCUGAGCGUCGCUCUGGAAGUUGGGGUCCAGGUUGUCCACUGGGGGGGGGGCGUUAAAUUGAGGGGGGGGCUUCAGGGACCCCCCCCCAAUAAAAAAAAAAUGAAGCCGGGCACUCACGGAGCAUCAGCACCACCUUCUGCAGCUCGCCCUGCUUCACCGAGAGGUAGAGCUGGCGCGGGUGGAAGCGCAGCUUCUUGCGCCUGUGGGGGGGUGGGGGUGUACUGGGAGCACUGGGAGGGACUGGGAGGGACUGGGGGGGUGUGGGGGGGGGCUGGGAGGGGAUUGGGGGGGAUUGGGGGCGGUUGGGGGGGGCCCAGAGCAAGCGGGGAGGGGAGGGGGUGAUGAGGGGAAAUACUGGGAGCACUACUGGGGGCAUACUGGGAGCACUGGGAGGGACUGGGAGGGGGUGGAGGGGUGUGGGGGGGGACUGGGAGGGGAUUGGGGGGGAUUGGGAAGGGUUGGGGAGGGCCCAGAGCAAGUGGGGAGAGAGGGGAGUGGGACUGGAAAGGAUGGGGGGGUACUGGGAGCGCUACUGGGAGCAUACUGGGAGCACUGGGGCCAUACUGGGAGCCCCCAGCAGCUCCCAGAGCCCAUGGCAGGAACAGGGAUGGAUUUUGGGGGCAUUUAGGGCAGAUUUGGUACCAAUUGCUCAACCUCCCGCGCUCCUAUUGGACAUUUUUGAGGGGAUCAGAUUUUUGGGUGGAAUUUCAGGGGUUUUGGGUCUGACCUGUCGGCCUCCUGCACCGCCAGGAGGGAUCAGAAAGGAUUCAGGAUGGAUUUUGGGGCCAUUUAGGGCAGAUUUGGGCCCAACACCAUGCCUUCUUAUACUGCUAUGGGGUUUUUUUGGAGAACCGAUUUUUGGGUGGAAUUGCGGGGGUUUUGGGUCUGACCUGUCGGCCUCCUGCACCACCAGGGCCUUCUCCAGGAGGUCUCGGGCGGGGCCGGGCGCCAGCCCCCGUGCCGAGAGGGCGGCCCCCGAGGGCAGGGUCAGCGCCGGGGGGGGUGCCGGGGGGGUGCCGUCGGCGCGGGGCAGGGUCACCUCCUGCGCCUCCGAGGCGUCCUCGCCGCAGUGGGGGCAGAAAAUCAUCCCGUUGAGCUGCGACACGCACCCCCGGUGGAAGCGGUGCCCGAUGCGCACGUCGGGGUGGCACUCCAGGAACGUGCCCUGGGGGGGCGCGGGGGGCAGGGGGGGUCACUCCGGGGUCCCCAGGGGGACUUCGGGGGGUCCUACGAUCCCAAAAUGUGCCCUGGGGGCCCUAAAAGGCGCCCUGGGGUCAUUUAGGGGUGCUAGAGGGUCUCCAAAGAGGGUCUUUGGGGUCCUGGGGGGCUUCUGGGGGGGUCCUGGGGGCUUUUGGGGGGGUCCUGGGGGGCUUUUGGGGUCCCCAAGGGUCUUUUUGGGGUCCCUACAGGGUCUUUUGGGGGGUCCCGGGGCCCUAAAAGGUGUCCUAGAGGGGUUUUAGGGGUCCCUGGGGUCCCAGCCCCGAUGCGCACGUCGGGGUGGCACUCCAGGAACGUGCCCUGGGGGGGCGCGGGGGGCAUGUGGGGUCACUCCGGGGUCCCCAGGGGGACUUCGGGGGUCCUACGAUCCCAAAAUGUGCCCUGGGGGCCCUAAAAGGUGCCCUGGGGUCUUUUAGGGGCGCUAGAGGGUCUCCAAAGAGGGGUUUAGGGGUCCUGGGGGGCUUUGGGGGGGGUCCUGGGGGGCUUCUGGGGUCCUGGGGGGCUUCUGGGGGUCGCUAUAGGGACAUUGAGGGGGUCCUGAGGCCCUAAAAGGUGCCCUGGGGUCUUUCAGAGGGGCUAUAGGGUCUCCAAAGGGGGUCUUUGGGGUCCUGGGGGGCUUCGGGGGGGGUCCUGGGGGGCUUCUGGGGGCCCCAAAAGCUGCCCUGGGGCCUCUUAGGGCUGCUACCCCUCCUCUAAACCCCCCCCAAAGCCCCAAUAUUCCCCCCACACCCCCCGGGACCCCCCCGGGACCCCUGGAAGCCCCCUCCCCAAAUUCCCCGGCCCCCCCCGGCCCCCCCCGGACUCACAGCAGUACAGAAGUGCCC
Molecule: long non-coding RNA, 2105 nt
Organism: Cairina moschata (Muscovy duck)
Lineage: Eukaryota; Metazoa; Chordata; Aves; Anseriformes; Anatidae
Source: Ensembl